Long non-coding RNA from Coturnix japonica (Japanese quail), 486 nucleotides. RefSeq lists it as uncharacterized. The record is from RefSeq and is a predicted model, not a curated record. Lineage: Eukaryota; Metazoa; Chordata; Aves; Galliformes; Phasianidae.
AUUGCUCUUUUGUGGAGUUUACUGUGAGCCUUCAACAUUGAUGGCUAACAAAAGCCUGGGAUGCUUUCCAUUGAGGGAAUGACAGUAAAUGAACUGAAACUGUGCUGAAGUUCUGGUCCUUAGUGAGCAAGGGAGAUACGCAGAUGGUCUUUGUCAAGGUGCAGUGGAUGCCUACAAUAAAUGGAAAGCAGCUCUACAGAAGAGGCAGCAAUGGCUGCUUGAUCCAACAGUGGAUUCUGUCUGGCCCAGGAGCAGAGCAGGUCAAACAGCUUAUCUCCAUGACUAAUAAACCAGCUGCUGAAUGAAGUGAGGCUCCUAUGGUCAGUGCAGAUGGGGUUGGCACUCUGAAGGAUUUCCCAUAGUCUUCAACCAAGUUCAGCCUGGAAUUUAGGUAAAAAAUGUUCCUCAAUGAGAGCCUGAAUUAUCUUUGAAGUUAGGAAUUAUGAGGUGGGUGUUGUGGACUACCAGAUAAAGUGUGAAUCUUUA